UACGGAGGGUGCAAGCGUUAUCCGGAUUCACUGGGUUUAAAGGGUGCGUAGGCGGGCCAAUAAGUCAGUGGUGAAAGCUCCCGGCCCAACCGGGAAAUUGCCAUUGAUACUGUUAGCCUUGAGUGCAGUUGAGGUGGGCGGAAUACAGCAUGUAGCGGUGAAAUGCUUAGAUAUGCUGUAGAACACCGAUUGCGAAGGCAGCUCACUAAACUGUAACUGACGCUGAGGCACGAAAGCGUGGGGAUCGAACAGG
This 253-nucleotide ribosomal RNA is filed under the name uncultured bacterium. Its description in RNAcentral is "partial 16S ribosomal RNA". It matches the Rfam family "Bacterial small subunit ribosomal RNA", at positions 524 to 776 of the family's 1533-position model. The record is from RNAcentral.